This 465-nucleotide ribosomal RNA is filed under the name Vreelandella stevensii. RNAcentral describes it as "partial 16S ribosomal RNA". It matches the Rfam family "Bacterial small subunit ribosomal RNA", at positions 338 to 795 of the family's 1533-position model. Lineage: Bacteria; Pseudomonadati; Pseudomonadota; Gammaproteobacteria; Oceanospirillales; Halomonadaceae. The record is from RNAcentral.
CCUACGGGGGGCUGCAGUGGGGAAUAUUGGACAAUGGGGGGAACCCUGAUCCAGCCAUGCCGCGUGUGUGAAGAAGGCCCUCGGGUUGUAAAGCACUUUCAGUGAGGAAGAACGCCUGGUGGUUAAUACCCAUCAGGAAAGACAUCACUCACAGAAGAAGCACCGGCUAACUCCGUGCCAGCAGCCGCGGUAAUACGGAGGGUGCGGGCGUUAAUCGGAAUUACUGGGCGUAAAGCGCGCGUAGGUGGCUUGAUAAGCCGGUUGUGAAAGCCCCGGGCUCAACCUGGGAACGGCAUCCGGAACUGUCAAGCUAAAGUGCAGGAGAGGAAGGUAGAAUUCCCGGUGUAGCGGUGAAAUGCGUAGAGAUCGGGAGGAAUACCAGUGGCGAAGGCGGCCUUCUGGACUGACACUGACACUGAGGUGCGAAAGCGUGGGUAGCAAACAGGAUUAGAUACCCCUGUAGUC